This is an RNA transcript of Manihot esculenta (cassava), 2192 nucleotides long. It is a transcript of the gene named protein RFT1 homolog, with no coding region annotated. Lineage: Eukaryota; Viridiplantae; Streptophyta; Magnoliopsida; Malpighiales; Euphorbiaceae. The transcript has 15 exons. The record is from RefSeq and is a predicted model, not a curated record.
GCUAAACGAGUUCCUCGCCGGUGGCGGUAAAAACACUCCUCUCGGUUUUCAUUUUCGGUCUCAGGUCUACAAGUUUCUCCACCACUUAUUUCGACACGAUUCUAAUUCUCACUCACCGGUAACUUCUUUCGAGUCCAACUCUGUCUUUCUGGGUAGUGUGUUUCUCUCAUUUUCCAUGUAUAUUUUGACCAAAAACAAAUUUUAUGGCUCGGUUUACCCAUUACUCCUAAUCUACAAGUUUUCAUUCCUAAAGAUCUGAGAGUUUAGUGAUACUAUCCAAUUUCUUCUUCUUCUUCUUCUUCUUCUUCUUCCAUAGAUUAAAGGGCAUCAGUAGUCCAGCAUCAGAUGGCCAGCGAUGCCAAUUUAUCUCGCACUUUCAAGUACUUAAUGGCUACACAGUUCUUAUCAAGAGGAAUUCCAUUUAUUUUCAAUUCAUGGAUCGUCAGGCACCUCACAGCAGAGGACUAUGCGCUUUACGCAGUUCAGUUUCAUCUAUUUGUCACCUGUGUCUUGUUUCUUAGUCGGGAGGGAUUUCGCCGAGCUUGCAUGAGGGCUGAAAUUAAAUGUGACGGUACAUCUACAGAAGAAUAUGCAACAAAGCUAUUAAAAGUAGCUUGGAUGACUCUCCCACUUGGGAUAGUUAUCACAUUUGCUGCAUGCAUUUUUAUAUUUUGGUGGCAAGGACUAAGCCCUUCUGACCCGUAUGCACAAGCAAUCUUGAUUAAUGGCUGUGGUUGUAUACUGGAGCUAUUGGCUGAACCAUUAUAUAUCCUUUCUCAGAAUUUAGCCUUGCUUGAACUGCGUUUGAUGGUUGAAACAGUUGCUACCCUUUUGCGUUGUCUGACUAUGUAUUUCCUUAUCGUUAGACAACCCAGCAUGGAGAAAGGGAUCAUCUUUGCAUGGUCACAAACUGCAUAUGGAGCUUGCUUGUUCGUAGGAUAUUGGAGUUAUUUUCUUCUUUUCCGUGCAUUUAGAAGUUCUGAUCUUCUGCCUUUCAGACUAGGAACUAAAAUAGAUUAUGAUAAGCAACUCUCAAACAUGUGUCUGUUGUUUACUCUUCAAUCCUUCCGGAAGCUAAUUCUUCAAGAAGGGGAAAAGAUGGUCCUUGUGUGGUUGGAUACGCCUUAUAACCAGGCUGUAUAUGGGCUUGUUGACAAAUUAGGAAGCUUAGUAGUGAGGUUGGUCUUCCUGCCAUUUGAGGAAAGUUCAUAUGCUACAUUUGCUAGGUCUGCAUCAGGAGAAUAUCCACUCAAAAGCAGGAAACUUGGAAGCUGCCUCACAGAAGCCCUUAAGCUUGUUUUGUUAAUUGGUCUUGUGUUCAUGGCAUUUGGUCCAAGUUACUCUUACUCUCUAAUCAGAUUAUUGUAUGGCCAUAAAUGGAGUGAUGGCGAGGCAUCAACGGCUCUCCGGUAUUAUUGCCUUUAUAUUAUUCUUUUGGCUAUGAAUGGAACUUCUGAAGCAUUUCUACAUGCUGUUGCAACAGAGAACCAGCUCAAACGUUCGAAUGAUUCAUUGCUUGUAUUCUCACUUAUAUAUGUUGUACUAAAUGUCCUACUGAUUCGGUCAGCUGGUGCAGUUGGUUUGAUUCUGGCAAAUUCGUUGAGUAUGAGUUUGAGGAUUGCAUACUCUGCAAUAUUCAUCAAGCAUUAUUUCAAGGAUUCUUCUGCAUUUACAUUUCGCAGCUGCUUGCCUUCAGGUUGGACAGUUCUGUUGGUUUCAGGUGUAACUACUCUCAUUUCUGAGAAAAUAUUUCUGAACCGCGAAAAUUUCUGGCCAACAUUUUUAGUUCACUUAUCCAUUGGGUUCACUUGCUUUUGCACAUCCUCUGUCAUCAUUUAUCAUCGGGAAAGGCCUUUCAUCAACAAAAUUAUCCAAUUUCGCAAUCACGGGGACUGAAGAACGGCCAACUGCCCCAAGAGAUUUCAGAGAUGGGACUUACUUUUUUUGCAUAUGAAAAGUGCAGUUGCAGUAGAUUCUAUGUUGAGUCUCUUUCCACUCACCACCAUAGCUCCAAACGCCCUAAUUCGUGACCAAGCACAGUGAUAAUAUUAAUCCUUGUCUUCUUUCAGUAAUACUAGCUAUCUCUUGCUUUUUGCAUGAUAAAACUCUAGCUAUCAGGCAUUGAUUACUAGACACUUGGUUACUGUCAAAUAUUCUAUUGAAAAGGUUAACAUGCCUAAUUUCUAUGAUAA